CCUACGGGAGGCAGCAGUGAGGAAUAUUGGUCAAUGGACGAGAGUCUGAACCAGCCAAGUAGCGUGAAGGAUGACUGCCCUAUGGGUUGUAAACUUCUUUUAUAUGGGAAUAAAAUGUUCCACGUGUGGGAUUUUGUAUGUACCAUAUGAAUAAGGAUCGGCUAACUCCGUGCCAUCAGCCGCGGUAAUACGGGGGAUCCGAGCGUUAUCCGGAUUUAUUGGGUUUAAAGGGAGCGUAGGGGGAUUGUUAAGUCAGUUGUGAAAGUUUGCGGCUCAACCGGAAAAUUGCAGUUGAAACUGGCAGUCUUGAGUACAGUAGAGGUGGGCGGAAUUCGUGGUGUAGCGGUGAAAUGCUUAGAUAUCACGAAGAACUCCGAUUGCGAAGGCAGCUCACUGGACUGCAACUGACACUGAGGCUCGAAAGUGUGGGUAUCAAACAGGAUUAGAUACCCCAGUGUC
This 459-nucleotide ribosomal RNA is filed under the name uncultured bacterium. RNAcentral's name for it is "partial 16S ribosomal RNA". It matches the Rfam family "Bacterial small subunit ribosomal RNA", at positions 338 to 795 of the family's 1533-position model. The record is from RNAcentral.